RNAcentral lists this transfer RNA (71 nucleotides) under Loxodonta africana (African savanna elephant). It matches the Rfam family "tRNA". Rfam says of the family: Transfer RNA (tRNA) molecules are approximately 80 nucleotides in length. Their secondary structure includes four short double-helical elements and three loops (D, anti-codon, and T loops). Lineage: Eukaryota; Metazoa; Chordata; Mammalia; Proboscidea; Elephantidae. The record is from Rfam by way of RNAcentral.
GCAGUGGUAGUUCAGUGCUAGAAUUCUCACCUUCCAUGUGGGAGACUCUGGUUCGAUUUUUGGCCAGUGCA